UUCUGCUCUUCACUGGAGCGUGCCCAGUUCACAUAUCGCAGCCAGUUCCCCUUCGUGGGGUCUGUGGCGUCAACACACAUCCAGCCCCGAGCUGGGAAAUAAACCUACAGAACAAAUCUGUCUGAAGUUAGGCGUGGUAGCCUGAAUCUGCCAGUUCCAAAGAAGAGAUAAAAAGUCACCAAGUUUAG
Molecule: long non-coding RNA, 188 nt
Organism: Siniperca chuatsi (mandarin fish)
Lineage: Eukaryota; Metazoa; Chordata; Actinopteri; Centrarchiformes; Sinipercidae
Exons: 3
Source: RefSeq, a predicted model, not a curated record